GAUGAACGCUGGCGGCGUGCCUAAUACAUGCAAGUCGAGCGAACAGACGAGGAGCUUGCUCCUCUGACGUUAGCGGCGGACGGGUGAGUAACACGUGGAUAACCUACCUAUAAGACUGGGAUAACUUCGGGAAACCGGAGCUAAUACCGGAUAAUAUAUUGAACCGCAUGGUUCAAUAGUGAAAGACGGUUUUGCUGUCACUUAUAGAUGGAUCCGCGCCGCAUUAGCUAGUUGGUAAGGUAACGGCUUACCAAGGCAACGAUGCGUAGCCGACCUGAGAGGGUGAUCAGCCACACUGGAACUGAGACACGGUCCAGACUCCUACGGGAGGCAGCAGUAGGGAAUCUUCCGCAAUGGGCGCAAGCCUGACGGAGCAACGCCGCGUGAGUGAUGAAGGUCUUCGGAUCGUAAAACUCUGUUAUUAGGGAAGAACAAAUGUGUAAGUAACUAUGCACGUCUUGACGGUACCUAAUCAGAAAGCCACGGCUAACUACGUG
Molecule: ribosomal RNA, 497 nt
Filed under: uncultured bacterium
Lineage: Bacteria
Description: partial 16S ribosomal RNA
Rfam family: Bacterial small subunit ribosomal RNA
Source: RNAcentral